Molecule: long non-coding RNA, 4212 nt
Organism: Onychostoma macrolepis
Lineage: Eukaryota; Metazoa; Chordata; Actinopteri; Cypriniformes; Cyprinidae
Exons: 10
Source: RefSeq, a predicted model, not a curated record
GGGCCAGGCAACAGAAGAAUAAUGAAGCCAUUGUGGCUGUGUCCAAAUUCCUCACCCUGAAGCCCUUUCUAGAAGAAUAGUGCCCACUGUGUGGAGAUUUACUCCGCCGCAAUACUCCGAGGACCAGAGGAGGCUCGGAGCUCCUAUUUGGAGAGGAGAUGUUGAUGUUGGAUGGCCCUGUCGAGGUUGUUCGGCGGGAAGAACGAGGGAGUCACCCCUGUCAGGCAAUAUAUAGCAUACGUCUUAUGUAAGACAGAUGCAGUCUGGGGUAAAACGUGCACGACAGCCGUGCAGAGACGGACACUGCUGCUUCCUGCGCUCUCAAAUGCUUUUCAGUGACGUUCUCGGGUUCUGGAUCAGGUUCUUUUGCGUUUGGAUAUCCGGUUCCAAAUUUUCCCCGCCGUCUCCCCCCUUCGUUUCACUGUCACCUCCCAUUACGCGAGAACCGGCGAGCUCCCGUUGACUUCACCCUGAACCCAAGGAGCCGUGCGCAGUCCGCAGAGGACCGCACCGCACGUCAGCGCUGACAGCUCCAAACUGAAAUAGCUCCACUCAUUAACUCGCGGAAAAAAGUGGCAGCGCUCAAACGCUAGCCUUAUUUAUCAGCGUGCCAUGCCAUCUGCAUGCCAUAUUGUGCUCUAAGAUUUACAGCGCUGUCUCCUUGCCUCCCUUAUUUCAAUAGAUGCAGUUGGCAACUCAGCGGCGCUGAUAUCAACCCAAUUAUAAAUAUUUAUAAUCUGCACAUUUUAAAAAAAAAAUCCUGUCAAUCACAAAGACAAGGCCAGAUAAGCUCAGAGUGUAUCCGGGAUGCAAUUUGCAUGCCACAGAACUUGUGAUCCAUUUUGUUUUUUUGUACUUUGCACACAAGACGUUCUCUGUGCAGAUUAAAUAUAGAAGUUUUGUUCUCGGAGAGAGCCAAGCUUAUUUUCCUCUUCUCUGCAUGUUGAUGCUACGCUGAUGGCGAUUCAUUAUUGAGAGGGAAAACCAUCGUAACUGAGCUCCGGGUGCGUGUUUGUUGGAGUAACCGUCCUCUGAUGAAGGAAGUUGUUUUGUGUAGCGGAACGAGAGAAAGAAGUUGCGAUUGGAGUCUGAGCUGCUGGAGUGCAAAGUACCACAUCUUGAAGUACUGAGGAGAAGACGGUUAAAGUGCUGCUCUGAUGGCGUUUGGAGUCUCUGGGUGUGUUUUGCACAAAGUCAUUUGAAAGACUUCAGCUGUAACCUGUGUGUGUUCAGAGGUUAAAAUGACCUCACCUCAAAAUUACCUGAGAGUUCUGUGGCACAGAGCAGCAGCUGGGAUUGUUCAGAGAGUCAGCUACGCUGGAAACUUCAUUUCAUGCCAAAAGUGACUGUUUAAUGGAGGAGCUGAUAGGGCUCAGGGGAACUCUGUGGAGAAUCUCUAUACGGCUCAGUAUGGGGAGAAGACAGGAAACGGCCUUUCAUUACAGUAUAGAGGCUCACACAUGGGGGAGCGAUGUCAGAACGACUCUUUCCUCCAGUCUGCAGGCAUCGCACCCGUCCACUGGUCUGCUAGGCAAAUCCUCUCCCUUCAAACCACCUUGGGACCAGGAUUACUGAGAUUUUGAAAAGAUUCAUCUUGCUUUCAACCGAGUGCAAACUUCACCACCUCAGCUUUAUAAUCUCAAGAGGAACAGGUGACUUUUUAGGGAGCAGAAUCAAUUAAGCAUGGAAGGGAAAGGAUCUUUGGGAAGACUGUGGGUUUGGAGAGGCCUUGAGCCCGAGCUUUGGACACCGUGGAGGUGGGAUAUCCAGUGGAUAUGCAUAAACGGGUUGAGGAGGAUGAAAGCUGUUCAGCAGAUAAAGCCAUAGCAGCCUGUCGGAAUCCUGCCAUGCUGGCCUUGAUUUAUGACCAUCUCAGUCAGACUCCCUACCAAAUCCACCUGCUACCUUUUUUUGCUCAGUGGAGAUGCUCAUGUUUGAGCCGAUAGUACAACCAAAGUUCACAAACACACAAGGGACGUGGUCUGGUUCGUCACACUGAACCUGAGGACACAGCCGAUGCCUCUGAGUAGCACUCUGAUGUUCCCAGUUUCUCCUCUCUCGCACAACAUUAAAAAGUCUGGAUAAAAGUGACCCUAGAUGCCCAGGGAGAUUCUGCCGCCACACACACGCAGUCACAGCGGCUCUUGCCAGCGUGACUGAAGCGCCCUGCUGAGAGCUCCGAUGUCAGGGGUCAGUCUUCACCAUCAUAACCUCUACAGACGUGUCUUCCGGUCUUUCACAGCUCUGACCCCAGGGUACCGGACCCCGUGGAUGCACGUGACCUUCCCAUGAAGUACAUUUGCCACCUGAGGAGAAGUCACGUCGUGCAGCCGCCAGUUCGGUUCUUGGAAAUCACGCCUCAACAACGCACAUCAAAAUUCAAUCACACACGAGCACCAUCCAGGCACCCACCUCCACCCCCUUGUUGACUUGAUUAAGGUGAGUGGGAUCACUUUAAAACCUUCACACACACACACACUUGCACACAAACACAGGAGGGUCUCAUAAGUCUGAUUUCAAAGCUUCGUAAUUGGGAAAGGAUCUUUUAGACCUGGUGUGGAGCCCCGUUCCAUUAUUGUUUCCUGAUUUUAAUGCGCACGGGGCACGAUUACGGUAUGAGGGUCCAUUUAAAGAACAACUCGGCACUGAAGAUGAAGAAACCGCGUCAACAGCCAUGUCGUACCCUGCCAUUACCGCUUCGGUUCCCUACUCCUAUCCUGCUAUUUGUUCCCAUUAAAAAAGCCUACUAGAAGGACUGCAAUUCAUUCAGACGUAUUGUAUGUGGUAAUGUACACUAUUAAGUACCAGUAUAUUGAAACAAACCUUUGAUUAAAUGUAUUUGAAUCACAAAGAAACAGCAAGAAUCCUCCCUUGCCUUUGUUAAUGAGGGCCUCAUUGUGCUACCUGUGCUCACCGACUUUUGUGCCUGUGGUUUCAAGAGGCCUUUUUUCCGCAGUUCUACUCUAAUAUUAAAUCAAAUCAACUUGGGGAGAGAAAAAAAGGCUUUUGUUCACAUUUGAAUAAUUUGUACAUAUUGUUAGUUAUAUUGGCUGAUCUCGUAACAGUACAAGGCAGGAAAGGACGUUAUUUAUAAUUGGCAUUAAUAUUAUGGCUAUUUUUUUUUUAUUAUUUAGGUUUACUUUGGGUAUAAUUUGUUCAUUAUGCAUUUGUGUGAUUCAUUAUGCUAAUUUGUGUUCGAUGUUAUUUAAAUAGACCAACAUAAGCAAACAAAAACAAACUCGAACUCAUGAUUUUUAUUCGUGGCGCGAACUGAAAACCGAAGUAAACAGCGUCCAAAAGGGUACAAAAACAAGACUUUUAAACACUCCAGCACCUUAAAUACACAACACAAAGGCAUUGCUCAGCCAUACCGAGAAAGGCGUGCAAAUCUAUGUAAGUAUCAUACUGUUUGCAUAAUAGAUUAGAAAUUAGCAUUUUUGUUCAUUUUCCAUGUAUGCACAGUGCCCUGGAAGAAAAACGCUCCAUGCAUAUCAGAUCAGCCAGCCUUCCAUUUUGCGCAGUAUAUUAUUUGACAAUCUAAAAUGUGUAAUUUGCAUGAAAUUGCUUAAUUAAAACACAGUCACUUGGGGUAUUAAUUUCUUUGUCUGCCGACGGAGUGCGGCGCAGGCAGAUGUAAAGGGCUGUCAGAGAGGAAUGUCAGGGAGUGAGAGGGGGGACACCGUCCCAGCACGCCGUGUCUUGGCUGGGGAGGGUUACGAUGCCUGGCUGCCCGCCUGCCUGCCUAACUGCCUGCUCUGGGCACGCUUGGUAAACAGAGGCCCCUGCACUGGAAGGAUAGAAAGGGGAGGAUGGCAGGGUGAUGGAGGAGGAGGACGGCUGGCAGCGUGCCAUCGGCAUGCGAGAUCUGAAAGUUGGCGAUAUCAUGCACUCAGUAUCGAUGCACUUGCUGCUUGGGCCACAGGAAACACACUAGGCUAUAACGUGCAUCUAUGUAUCAGGAUUUUUUUCAUCCUGUUAAUGUUAUAAUAGAUGUUUAGUAUGCAAUCACAUGCAAAAUAUAGUGUUCUUGUGGCAAAUGUUUGUAAUUUGUAAAGUGUUGUAUGCCGUGUAGAGAGAGAAGGAAAUGAACUAAAAGUUAAAUUCAACCAAAUCAAUUAAGGAAGGGAUUGACUUGGUUGACUUGUUUUAUUUUUAAGCUUUGGAUUUUAAGGUGGCUUCUUUUUACUGUAUUUUAAGAAAUAAAACUGGACA